RNAcentral lists this ribosomal RNA (1394 nucleotides) under Thenus orientalis. RNAcentral's name for it is "l-rRNA". The stretch from base 640 to 1394 matches the Rfam family "Archaeal large subunit ribosomal RNA", at positions 1423 to 2857 of the family's 2987-position model. The record is from RNAcentral. Lineage: Eukaryota; Metazoa; Arthropoda; Malacostraca; Decapoda; Scyllaridae.
AAAUAUUUACUUGCUUGUAUAAAUUAUGUAAAAUAAAGGAGUAAGAAAAGUAAUUUUGAAGUAAAUAGAGUUUAGUAUUAUAAAAGAAAUAUGAUAUGACAGGCUUUAGUUGAAUAGUAUUGUAGAAGAAAGUUUAAAUAAGUGUUAAAAGGUAAUUGAUGAAAAGUAUAAAUUAAAGUUAGUACCUUGUGUAUCAGGGGGUAUUAAAAUAUUAAAUAGAAUUAUUGCGUUCCCGAAAGAAGAAUAGCUAAUAUAGUAAGUUUGUUUUAGUUUCAAAUAGAUUUAUAAUACUAUAGUAGUGGUGAAAUAUCAAGCGGGUCUUUUAUUAUCUGGUUUUCUUAAAAAUGAAUUCAAUUCAGCUGCUUAAAAUAAUAACUGUUUAUGUAGUAAAUAAUAGGAGGGGAAAGCUUCUUAUUAAUAAUUUUAUUAUAACAACAAUAAAAAAAUAAAUUCAAACUAGGCUUAAAAGUAGCCAUGUUAAUAAAGUGUUAUAACUAAGACUUAGGUUACAGCCAUUUAAAUAAUGUUUAAUAAAACUAUGAGAAUACAUUAAAAAAUUGAAAAUUGAGGGUAAAAAUGAUAUCAUUAGUAUAGAAGUUAUGUGAGUAGGGUAAAUUAAAAUAGUAAGUAAACUUAAAAUUGAAGAAAAAGAUGACUUUAAGGAACUCGGCAAAUUUAACUUUUGCCUGUUUAUCAAAAACAUGUCUUUGCGUAUCGAUUUAUGUAAAGUCUGGCCUGCCCAAUGAUGGAAAUUUAAUGGCCGCGGUAUAUUGACCGUGCGAAGGUAGCAUAAUAAUUUGUCUUUUAAUUGAGGACUAGUAUAAAUGGUCGAACAAAAAGUUAGCUGUCUCUGAGUUAUGUCUUGAAUUUAACAUUUAAGUGAAAAGGCUUAAAUAAUUUAAGGGGACGAUAAGACCCUAUAAAUCUUUAUAUUAAUUUGUUGUUAAAUUGGAAAGUAGAAUUAAUUCCGGGUUUAAUAAUUUUGAAUAUUUUGUUGGGGAGACAGAAGUGUAAAUAAAUAACUACUUUAAAAAAAAAAGUUAAUGAUAUUUAAUGAGGAGAUCCUUUACUAAGGAUUGUAGAAUAAGUUACUUUAGGGAUAACAGCGUAAUUUCUUUUGAGAGUCCAUAUCGAAAAGGAAGCUUGCGACCUCGAUGUUGAAUUAAAGAUCCUAUAAUGGCGCAGAAGUUAUAAAAGGAGGUCUGUUCGACCUUUAAAUCUUUACAUGAUUUGAGUUCAGACCGGCGUAAGCCAGGUCGGUUUCUAUCUCUUAAAAUUAAAAGAUUUUUCUUAGUACGAAAGGAUUAGAAAAAUGUAAUAAUUGCUUUUAUGAAGUUUGUGUAGGUUAUCUUGGCAGAAAAAUGUCUUAGGUUUAGGACCUAAUUAUAUAGUGA